Molecule: ribosomal RNA, 440 nt
Filed under: uncultured bacterium
Lineage: Bacteria
Description: partial 16S ribosomal RNA
Rfam family: Bacterial small subunit ribosomal RNA
Source: RNAcentral
CCUACGGGAGGCAGCAGUAGGGAAUAUUGCUCAAUGGGCGAAACCCUGAAGCAGCAACGCCGCGUGGAGGAUGAAGGUGUUAGGAUUGUAAACUCCCUUUGUUAGAGAAGAUUAUGACGGUAUAUCACGAAUAAGCACAGGCUAACUCCGUGCCAGCAGCCGCGGUAAUACGGAGGGUGCAAGCGUUACUCGGAAUCACUGGGCGUAAAGAGUGAGUAGGCGGGGUAAUACGUCGGAUGUGAAAUCCUUUGGCUUAACUACAGACCUGCAGUUGAAACUGUUACUCUGGAGUGUGGGAGAGGUAGGUGGAAUUCUUGGUGUAGGGGUAAAAAGCGUAGAGAUCAAGAGGAAUACUGAUUGCGAAGGCGACCUGCUGGAACCUUACUGACGCUGAUGCACGAAAGCGUGGGGAGCAAACAGGAUUAGAUACCCGGGUAGUC